This 253-nucleotide ribosomal RNA is filed under the name uncultured bacterium. RNAcentral's name for it is "partial 16S ribosomal RNA". It matches the Rfam family "Bacterial small subunit ribosomal RNA", at positions 524 to 776 of the family's 1533-position model. The record is from RNAcentral.
UACAGAGGUCCCGAGCGUUGUUCGGAUUCACUGGGCGUAAAGGGUGCGUAGGUGGUGAGGUAAGUCUGAUGUGAAAGCCCUGGGCUCAACCUGGGAAUGGCAUUGGAUACUGGCGACCUAGAGUGCGGUAGAGGGGUGUGGAAUUCCCGGUGUAGCAGUGAAAUGCGUAGAUAUCGGGAGGAACAUCUGUGGCGAAGGCGACACCCUGGACCAGCACUGACACUGAGGCACGAAAGCGUGGGGAGCAAACAGG